RNAcentral lists this ribosomal RNA (496 nucleotides) under uncultured bacterium. RNAcentral's name for it is "partial 16S ribosomal RNA". It matches the Rfam family "Bacterial small subunit ribosomal RNA", at positions 28 to 507 of the family's 1533-position model. The record is from RNAcentral.
GAUGAACGCUGGCGGCGUGCCUAAUACAUGCAAGUCGAGCGAACAGAUGAGGAGCUUGCUCCUCUGACGUUAGCGGCGGACGGGUGAGUAACACGUGGAUAACCUACCUAUAAGACUGGGAUACUUCGGGAAACCGGAGCUAAUACCGGAUAAUAUAUUGAACCGCAUGGUUCAAUAGUGAAAGACGGUUUUGCUGUCACUUAUAGAUGGAUCCGCGCCGCAUUAGCUAGUUGGUAAGGUAACGGCUUACCAAGGCAACGAUGCGUAGCCGACCUGAGAGGGUGAUCGGCCACACUGGAACUGAGACACGGUCCAGACUCCUACGGGAGGCAGCAGUAGGGAAUCUUCCGCAAUGGGCGAAAGCCUGACGGAGCGACGCCGCGUGAGUGAUGAAGGUCUUCGGAUCGUAAAACUCUGUUAUUAGGGAAGAACAAAUGUGUAAGUAACUAUGCACGUCUUGACGGUACCUAAUCAGAAAGCCACGGCUAACUACGUG